Molecule: ribosomal RNA, 208 nt
Filed under: uncultured bacterium
Lineage: Bacteria
Description: partial 16S ribosomal RNA
Rfam family: Bacterial small subunit ribosomal RNA
Source: RNAcentral
CUCGUAGGUGGCCAACUAAGUCAUGCGUGAAAUCCCUCGGCUUAACCGGGGAACUGCGUCUGAUACUGGAUGGCUUGAAUCCGGGAGAGGGAUGCGGAAUUCCAGGUGUAGCAGUGAAAUGCGUAGAUAUCUGGAGGAACACCGGUGGCGAAGGCGGCAUCCUGGACCGGCAUUGACACUGAGGAGCGAAAGCCAGGGGAAGCAAACG